GAUGAACGCUAGCGGCAGGCUUAACACAUGCAAGUCGAGGGGCAGCACGGGUAGCAAUACUUGGUGGCGACCGGCAAACGGGUGCGGAACACGUACAGAAUCUACCUUUAUCUGGGGCAUAGCCCGAAGAAAUUCGGAUUAAUACCCCAUAAUAUAUUUAAGUGGCAUCACUUUGAAUAUUAAAACUCCGGUGGAUAGAGAUGACUGUGCGUCCCAUUAGCUAGNGGUAGGGUAACGGCCUACCAAGGCGACGAUGGGUAGCUGGUGUGAGAGCACGACCAGCCACACGGGCACUGAGACACGGGCCCGACUCCUACGGGAGGCAGCAGUGAGGAAUAUUGGUCAAUGGACGCAAGUCUGAACCAGCCAUGCCGCGUGAAGGAUGAAGGCGUUCUGCGUUGUAAACUUUCUUUUAUCUGGGAAGAACCUACGUAUUUCUAUUGUAGCCGACGGUACCAGAGGAAUAAGCACCGGCUAACUCCGUGCCAGCAGCCGCC
This 497-nucleotide ribosomal RNA is filed under the name uncultured bacterium. RNAcentral describes it as "bacterial SSU rRNA". It matches the Rfam family "Bacterial small subunit ribosomal RNA", at positions 28 to 519 of the family's 1533-position model. The record is from RNAcentral.